This 171-nucleotide non-coding RNA is filed under the name Protocruzia adhaerens. Lineage: Eukaryota; Ciliophora; Spirotrichea. The record is from RNAcentral.
AAAAAAAAAAAACAAAAAAACGAAAGAAAAAAAACAAAUCCUACUGCCUUUAUUUUGGGUGCACUUUUUGUUUUACCAAAAGAGCGACAUCUUUGACAACAUAACUUUUUUACCCUGUUCUCUCCUGUAAGAUUUUUAAGCCAUGAAUCCUGAUUCUGAACCAAAGGAACC